Molecule: ribosomal RNA, 411 nt
Filed under: Fusobacteriota bacterium
Lineage: Bacteria; Fusobacteriati; Fusobacteriota
Description: Fusobacteria bacterium partial 16S ribosomal RNA
Rfam family: Bacterial small subunit ribosomal RNA
Source: RNAcentral
UGGGGAAUAUUGCACAAUGGGCGCAAGCCUGAUGCAGCGACGCCGCGUGGGGGAUGAAGGCCUUCGGGUUGUAAACUCCUUUCGCUAGGGACGAAGCUUUUUGUGACGGUACCUGGAGAAGAAGCACCGGCUAACUACGUGCCAGCAGCCGCGGUAAUACGUAGGGUGCGAGCGUUGUCCGGAAUUACUGGGCGUAAAGAGCUCGUAGGUGGUUUGUCGCGUCGUUUGUGUAAGUCCACAGCUUAACUGUGGGACUGCAGGCGAUACGGGCAUAACUUGAGUGCUGUAGGGGAGACUGGAAUUCCUGGUGUAGCGGUGAAAUGCGCAGAUAUCAGGAGGAACACCGAUGGCGAAGGCAGGUCUCUGGGCAGUAACUGACGCUGAGGAGCGAAAGCAUGGGUAGCGAACAGG